This 425-nucleotide ribosomal RNA is filed under the name uncultured bacterium. Its description in RNAcentral is "partial 16S ribosomal RNA". It matches the Rfam family "Bacterial small subunit ribosomal RNA", at positions 354 to 796 of the family's 1533-position model. The record is from RNAcentral.
GUUAGGAAUAUUGGACAAUGGGCGAAAGCCUGAUCCAGCCAUGCUGCGUGAACGAUGAAGGCCUUCGGGUUGUAAAGUUCUUUAGCCGAUGAUUAUAAUGACUGUAGUCGGAAAAUAAGCCCCGGCUAACUUCGUGCCAGCAGCCGCGGUAAUACGAAGGGGGCGAGCGUUAUUCGGAAUCACUGGGCGUAAAGCGUGCGUAGGCGGUUUUGUAAGUUAGGAGUGAAAGCCCAGGGCUCAACCUUGGAAUUGCUCUUAAAACUGCAAGGCUCGAAUCUCGGAGAGGAUAGCGGAAUUUCCAGUGUAGCAGUGAAAUGCGUAGAUAUUGGAAGGAACACCAGUGGCGUAAGCGGCUAUCUGGACGAGUAUUGACGCUGAGGCACGAAAGCGUGGGGAUCAAACAGGAUUAGAUACCCUGGUAGUCC